RNAcentral lists this ribosomal RNA (253 nucleotides) under uncultured bacterium. Its description in RNAcentral is "partial 16S ribosomal RNA". It matches the Rfam family "Bacterial small subunit ribosomal RNA", at positions 524 to 776 of the family's 1533-position model. The record is from RNAcentral.
UACGUAGGGGGCAAGCGUUGUCCGGAUUUACUGGGCGUAAAGAGCGUGUAGGCGGCCAGGCAGGUCUGUUGUGAAAACUGGAGGCUCAACUUCCAGACGUCGACAGAAACCGCUUGGCUAGAGUCCGGAAGAGGAGAGUGGAAUUCCUGGUGUAGCGGUGAAAUGCGCAGAUAUCAGGAAGAACACCUAUGGCGAAGGCAGCACUCUGGGACGGUACUGACGCUGAGACGCGAAAGCGUGGGGAGCGAACAGG